CUACGGGUUGCACCAGUGGGGAAUAUUGCACAAUGGGCGCAAGCCUGAUGCAGCAACGCCGCGUGAGGGAAGAAGGUCUUCGGAUUGUAAACCUCUGUCCUUGGGGACGAAAAAAAUGACGGUACCCAAGGAGGAAGCUCCGGCUAACUACGUGCCAGCAGCCGCGGUAAUACGUAGGGAGCGAGCGUUGUCCGGAAUUACUGGGCGUAAAGGGUGCGUAGGCGGCAUGGCAAGUCAGAUGUGAAAUACCCAGGCUUAACUUGGGGGGUGCAUUUGAAACUGCUGUGCUUGAGUGCAGGAGAGGAAAGCGGAAUUCCUAGUGUAGCGGUGAAAUGCGUAGAUAUUAGGAAGAACACCAGUGGCGAAGGCGGCUUUCUGGACUGUAACUGACGCUGAGGCACGAAAGCGUGGGGAGCAAACAGGAUUAGAUACCCCAGUAGUC
Molecule: ribosomal RNA, 442 nt
Filed under: uncultured bacterium
Lineage: Bacteria
Description: partial 16S ribosomal RNA
Rfam family: Bacterial small subunit ribosomal RNA
Source: RNAcentral